This 158-nucleotide ribosomal RNA is filed under the name Tremella saccharicola. RNAcentral describes it as "5.8S ribosomal RNA". It matches the Rfam family "5.8S ribosomal RNA". Rfam says of the family: 5.8S ribosomal RNA (5.8S rRNA) is a component of the large subunit of the eukaryotic ribosome. It is transcribed by RNA polymerase I as part of the 45S precursor that also contains 18S and 28S rRNA. Lineage: Eukaryota; Fungi; Basidiomycota; Tremellomycetes; Tremellales; Tremellaceae. The record is from RNAcentral.
CAACUUUCAACAACGGAUCUCUUGGCUCUCGCAUCGAUGAAGAACGCAGCGAAAUGCGAUAAGUAAUGUGAAUUGCAGAAUUCAGUGAAUCAUCGAAUCUUUGAACGCACCUUGCGCCUUUUGGUAUUCCGAAAGGCAUGCCUGUUUGAGUGUCAUGU